RNAcentral lists this transfer RNA (83 nucleotides) under Spirochaetaceae bacterium. RNAcentral describes it as "tRNA-Leu". It matches the Rfam family "tRNA". Rfam says of the family: Transfer RNA (tRNA) molecules are approximately 80 nucleotides in length. Their secondary structure includes four short double-helical elements and three loops (D, anti-codon, and T loops). Further hydrogen bonds mediate the characteristic L-shaped molecular structure. tRNAs have two regions of fundamental functional importance: the anti-codon, which is responsible for specific mRNA codon recognition, and the 3' end, to which the tRNAs corresponding amino acid is attached (by aminoacyl-tRNA synthetases). tRNAs cope with the degeneracy of the genetic code in two manners: having more than one tRNA (with a specific anti-codon) for a particular amino acid; and 'wobble' base-pairing, i.e. permitting non-standard base-pairing at the 3rd anti-codon position. The record is from RNAcentral. Lineage: Bacteria; Pseudomonadati; Spirochaetota; Spirochaetia; Spirochaetales; Spirochaetaceae.
GCCGGCGUGGUGGAAUGGCAGACACGGCAGACUCAAAAUCUGCUAUCCGCGAGGAUGUGUGAGUUCAAGUCUCACCGCCGGCA